Molecule: non-coding RNA, 104 nt
Filed under: uncultured Bulleidia sp.
Lineage: Bacteria; Bacillati; Bacillota; Erysipelotrichia; Erysipelotrichales; Erysipelotrichaceae
Description: FMN riboswitch (RFN element)
Rfam family: FMN riboswitch aptamer (RFN element)
About the family: The RFN element is a highly conserved domain that is found frequently in the 5'-untranslated regions of prokaryotic mRNAs that encode for flavin mononucleotide (FMN) biosynthesis and transport proteins. This element is a metabolite-dependent riboswitch that directly binds FMN in the absence of proteins.
Source: RNAcentral
CUCAGGGCAGGGUGCAAUUCCCGACCGGCGGUAUACCCCGCGAGCUUGCAAAAGCAUGAUCUGGUGAAAUUCCAGGGGCGACAGUAAAGGCUGGAUGGAAGAGA